RNAcentral lists this ribosomal RNA (386 nucleotides) under uncultured bacterium. Its description in RNAcentral is "bacterial SSU rRNA". It matches the Rfam family "Bacterial small subunit ribosomal RNA", at positions 29 to 416 of the family's 1533-position model. The record is from RNAcentral.
AUUGAACGCUGGCGGCAUGCCUUACACAUGCAAGUCGAACGGCAGCACGGGAGCAAUCCUGGUGGCGAGUGGCGAACGGGUGAGUAAUAUAUCGGAACGUGCCCGGUCGUGGGGGAUAACGUAGCGAAAGCUACGCUAAUACCGCAUACGAUCUACGGAUGAAAGCGGGGGAUCGCAAGACCUCGCGCGAUUGGAGCGGCCGAUAUCAGAUUAGGUAGUUGGUGAGGUAAAGGCUCACCAAGCCGACGAUCUGUAGCUGGUCUGAGAGGACGACCAGCCACACUGGGACUGAGACACGGCCCAGACUCCUACGGGAGGCAGCAGUGGGGAAUUCUGGACAAUGGGCGCAAGCCUGAUCCAGCAAUGCCGCGUGCAGGAUGAAGGCC